RNAcentral lists this long non-coding RNA (2217 nucleotides) under Oncorhynchus mykiss (rainbow trout). RNAcentral describes it as "lncRNA (ENSOMYG00000073493.1)". The record is from RNAcentral. Lineage: Eukaryota; Metazoa; Chordata; Actinopteri; Salmoniformes; Salmonidae.
AUGUUAGCUGAUUGCACUGGGGGUUUAUUCAAUCUUCCUCCAACUGCAGUUCCAACUCUCAUUCCAUCUCCAGCAGUCCCAGUGUUGUCCAUGUCUCUACCAUCACCAUCCCAGUGUUGUCCAUGUCUCUCUCCAGCACCAUCUCCAGUGUUGUCCAUGUCUCUACCCAGCACCAUCUCCAGUGUUGUCCAUGUCUCUCUGCCCAGCACCAUCUCCAGCAGUCCCAGUGUUGUCCAUGUCUCUCUCCAGCACCAUCCCAGUGUUGUCCAUGUCUCUCUCCAGCACCAUCCCAGUGUUGUCCAUGUCUCUCUCCAGCACCAUCUCCAGUGUUGUCCAUGUCUCUACCCAGCACCAUCUCAGUGUUGUCCAUCUAUCUGCCCAGCACCAUCUCCACUGUUGUCCAUGUCUCUCUCCAGCACCAUCCCAGUGUUGUCCAUCUAUCUGCCCAGCACCAUCUCCAGUGUUGUCCAUGUCUCUACCCAGCACCAUCCCAGUGUUGUCCAUCUCUCUGCCCAGCACCAUCCCAGUGUUGUCCAUCUAUCUGCCCAGCACCAUCCCAGUGUUGUCCAUGUCUCCCCCCAGCACCAUCCCAGUGUUGUCCAUCUCUCUGCCCAGCACCAUCCCAGUGUUGUCCAUCUCUCUGCCCAGCACCAUCCCAGUGUUGUCCAUCUCUCUGCCCAGCACCAUCCCAGUGUUGUCCAUCUCUCUGCCCAGCACCAUCUCCAGUGUUGUCCAUGUCUCUGCCCAGCACCAUCUCCAGUGUUGUCCAUCUCUCUGCCCAGCACCAUCCCAGUGUUGUCCAUCUCUCUGCCCAGCACCAUCCCAGUGUUGUCCAUGUCUCUGCCCAGCACCAUCCCAGUGUUGUCCAUCUCUCUGCCCAGCACCAUCUCCAGUGUUGUCCAUGUCUCUACCCAGCACCAUCUCCAGUGUUGUCCAUCUCUCUGCCCAGCACCAUCCCAGUGUUGUCCAUGUCUCUCUCCAUCACCAUCUCCAGUGUUGUCCAUGUCUCUCUCCAGCACCAUCUCCAGUGUUGUCCAUCUCUCUGCCCAGCACCAUCCCAGUGUUGUCCAUGUCUCUCUCCAUCACCAUCUCCAGUGUUGUCCAUGUCUCUCUCCAGCACCAUCUCCAGUGUUGUCCAUCUCUCUGCCCAGCACCAUCUCCAGUGUUGUCCAUGUCUCUCUCCAUCACCAUCUCCAGUGUUGUCCAUGUCUCUCUCCAGCACCAUCUCCAGUGUUGUCCAUGUCUCUCUCCAGCACCAUCUCCAGUGUUGUCCAUGUCUCUCUCCAGGACCAUCUCCAGUGUUGUCCAUGUCUCUGCCCAGCACCAUCUCCAGUGUUGUCCAUGUCUCUGCCCAGCACCAUCUCCAGUGUUGUCCAUCUCUCUGCCCAGCACCAUCUCCAGUGUUGUCCAUGUCUCUACCCAUCACCAUCUCCAGUGUUGUCCAUGUCUCUGCCCAGCACCAUCUCCAGUGUUGUCCAUCUCUCUGCCCAGCACCAUCUCCAGUGUUGUCCAUGUCUCUACCCAGCACCAUCUCCAGUGUUGUCCAUGUCUCUCUACAGUGUUGUCCAUCUCUCUACCCAGCACCAUCUCCAGUGUUGUCCAUGUCUCUACCCAGCACCAUCUCCAGUGUUGUCCAUGUCUCUACCCAGCACCAUCUCCAGUGUUGUCCAUGUCUCUCUCCAGUGUUGUCCAUCUCUCUACCCAGCACCAUCUCCAGUGUUGUCCAUGUCUCUACCAGCACCAUCUCCAGUGUUGUCCAUCUCUCUGCCCUGCACCAUCUCCAGUGUUGUCCAUGUCUCUACCCAGCACCAUCUCCAGUGUUGUCCAUGUCUCUACCCAGCACCAUCUCCAGUGUUGUCCAUGUCUCUCUCCAGCACCAUCUCCAGUGUUGUCCAUCUCUCUGCCCAGCACCAUCUCCAGUGUUGCCCAUGUCUCUACCCAGCACCAUCUCCAGUGUUGUCCAUGUCUCUCUACAGUGUUGUCCAUGUCUAUCUCCAGUGUUGUCCAUGUCUCUACCCAGCACCAUCCCAGUGGUGUCCAUGUCUCUACCAGCACCAUCUCCAGUGUUGUCCAUGUCUCUCUCCAGUGUUGUCCAUGUCUCUCUCCAUCACCAUCUCCAGUGUUAAAUUGUUUUCUUUCUCCAACUGCAGUUCCAACUUCCAUUCCAUCUCCAGCAGUCCCAGUGUUGUCCAUGUCUCUACCCAGGCUGCUGUGUAG